GGGUGUGGCUCAGUGGUAGAGUGUUUGCCUGGCAUGGGAGAGGUCCUGGGUUCAAUCACCAGUACUGCA
This 69-nucleotide transfer RNA is filed under the name Marmota monax (woodchuck). Its description in RNAcentral is "tRNA.Ala". The record is from RNAcentral. Lineage: Eukaryota; Metazoa; Chordata; Mammalia; Rodentia; Sciuridae.